Molecule: long non-coding RNA, 2391 nt
Filed under: Canis lupus familiaris (dog)
Lineage: Eukaryota; Metazoa; Chordata; Mammalia; Carnivora; Canidae
Description: lncRNA (ENSCAFG00030008163.1)
Source: RNAcentral
AUGAGGCAAAUAGAUUCUGUGUGCGUUCCUGAAUGCUUGGUUAUUCAUGAAGCCACCGGCAGUCUGCCUCUCUGCCCGCCCCGGACCUGGCAGGUGUCACGUACCACCCUCCUCCUGGCCCUGACUCAGCUCCUCCAUGCCCAACAUUGUGGUCCACGGUGCCCUUGGAAUCUCGGGGUGAGACCUGGCAGCGAACCCCGUGUGCUCUUACCGCAGCGGGGCUCCUCCGACCGUCGGUACAAGGGGCUUGUGUUUCUGAGAAGGGAUGGGCCUGUGACCCCGAUAAGAUGAGGAGGGCUGCCGGAUUGCUUUGGGCAAAGCCUCUUCGGUCUCAAGAAAAACACACACUCCCUUGUGUUCCAUUGCUGCUGUGGCAAGAUCUGACCCAGAGAACUGCUUUAGUGACCAAGCUAAAAUCGAAGCCAAUAACAAGGAAUGGUAGAGAAACUGUUCACCAGACACCUGUGGAAGAUAGCAAGACCGAUUUUAUUGGAGCUACUGCAGUAGAGGAGAGAGAUUUUAUAUAAAACUGAGCUCUGCUCCAAAUAUAGCAAAGACAACUGGGAAUUUAGAGCUGAUGAGCGGGUGGGGGUGGAGAUCAGUGGCUAGAAAACUAUUAAGAGGAGCCUGAUUAGACAUCUUGCAUGAGGGAUUCUUGCUAAACUGACUUAGCAGGAUUCUUUGCUACCAUUGGGGUCAGCAGGCCAAGGGCAGGGUAGCUGGCCAAGGUUGAGCCCCAGUGGAGAAGAGAGCUCAAGGGGGGCCUGCCUAAGGUUUGGUCCAGGAAAGAGUCUUCAUUGGAGGAUGGUGGUGGGGAGAGAUCUUUCCAUGUGAGACCCAUCCCUGAGAGACUGUGAUUCCAACAUACAAUUUUUGUCUGGCCUUCUUGUCAUGAGAUUAUAAAUUCCCUUAUGAUUCUAAAUCAGUUUGAGUCAUGUUUCUGUUGUUAUUAUUUUGGUUGUUGUUUUGUUUGUUACUUGUAGCCAGAAAAUCCUAACUGAUCAAACACAGCCUGCCACAGAGCAGGCUGUUAGAUAUAAUUUGGGUGAAUAAAGAAAGCAUCCACACACACAGCGUUGGUGUUUCAAGUGAAUUUGCUAAAGAGGAUUCUAUUCAAAAUUUUUAAAGAUUUAUUUAUUUAUUUGAGAGAGAGAGAGAGAGAGAGAGUAGGGGAGGGACAGAGGGAAAGAGAGAAUCUCAAAAAGACUCCCCACUGAGCACAGAGCCUGAGGCAAGGCUCAGUCUCAGGACCCUGAGAUCAUGACCUGAGCCAAAACCAAGAGUUAAACACUCAACCAACUGAGCCACUCGGGCACCCUUGACUCCUGCUAAAGAGGAUUUUUAAAACUCUGUAUGGUUAUUCUUUUUUAAAAUGUCAAUGGCUUUUAUUUUAUUUUUAUUAGACCUCUCCUAUACUAAAUUUUUACCAAUAUAUAUGCAUAGUAGGUAAAGUGCUAGUAUGUUUUACUUGAAUUGUUUUACAAUUACAAAGUAUUUGCCAAUAACAUUGUCUAGUUGGACCUGCCUUAUCCCAUGAAGUAUACAGCAGGAGUCUUCACUCCCUCUUGGGAGAUUUAUUAAGUGCCUGCUGUAUCCCAGGCACGGUGCUGGAUGUUGGGUGUGCCCCACCCCAUGGAGCCUGCUCUAGAGCAAACAAACCAGGUUCUCAUAAUCGGAAGUGGGAAGCGGGAUAACUUUGUGGGGUGUGAUGUUUGGUUAAGACACAGGCAUGGUUACUCUACAAAUAUAGUGAGGAUUCCAGGCACAGGAAAUAACUCUUCAGUAAAGAAAAACAAUUUGGGGUAUUCCAGGAACUGAAGAAAUGCCACAGGAGUGAGUGAGAGAGAAAGAAAUACUAAGUCAAGAUGAGGGUGGGGAGGUGGGUGAGGCCAGUAAGCCAUGCAGAGACUUAAAGACCAUAAAAAAUUUAGAGGAAAGAGAUUGGUUGUGGGGUUCGGGGACUGUAGCAAAUGCAGAAAGACCUGUUCAGGGUUGGCAUCCAACCCCAUGAAAGAUGAGCAGCCAGGCUGAGAAGGAAUGGAGGAGAUAAACUGGAGUCAUUCAGGGCACUGAUCUGACUGGGUUUGCUGGAAACUGGGUGUGAACAUUGAGAGAAAGAGGAGAUGGGGGGAUACAUGCCUGGGUUUUUGGUCUCCAGUAACUGGAUGAACAGGGGCCCUGCCUGUGGACAGGGUGUCAGAUGCAUGUUGUGGGGGGUGGAAAUCAAAGCGUUUCCUUUCAGACACAUGGCGUUUGAGAUGCCUGUGAUUCCUGUUGGAUAUUCAAAUUUGAUAGUGGGAGGAAAAUCUAGGCCGGAGAUGAACAUUUGGAGUUCCCAGCAUGUGGACUGAAUUUCGGGGUGGAGGGUGGUGGGGGCAGGGGGAUUGAGGA